RNAcentral lists this ribosomal RNA (797 nucleotides) under Grandibotrys pseudotheobromae. Its description in RNAcentral is "eukaryotic LSU rRNA". It matches the Rfam family "Eukaryotic large subunit ribosomal RNA", at positions 74 to 906 of the family's 3401-position model. The record is from RNAcentral. Lineage: Eukaryota; Fungi; Ascomycota; Sordariomycetes; Hypocreales; Stachybotryaceae.
AUUGCCUCAGUAACGGCGAGUGAAGCGGCAACAGCUCAAAUUUGAAAUCUGGCCCUAGGCCCGAGUUGUAAUUUGCAGAGGAUGCUUUUGGCGCGGUGCCUUCCGAGUUCCCUGGAACGGGACGCCAUAGAGGGUGAGAGCCCCGUCUGGUUGGACACCAAGCCUCUGUAAAGCUCCUUCGACGAGUCGAGUAGUUUGGGAAUGCUGCUCUAAAUGGGAGGUAUAUGUCUUCUAAAGCUAAAUACCGGCCAGAGACCGAUAGCGCACAAGUAGAGUGAUCGAAAGAUGAAAAGCACUUUGGAAAGAGAGUUAAACAGCACGUGAAAUUGUUGAAAGGGAAGCGUUUACGACCAGACUUGGGCCGGUUGAUCAUCCAGCGUUCUCGCUGGUGCACUCUGCCGGUCCAGGCCAGCAUCAGUUCGCCCCGGGGGAUAAAGGCGGCGGGAAUGUAGCUCCUCCGGGAGUGUUAUAGCCCAUCGUGCAAUACCCUGUGGUGGACUGAGGUUCGCGCUCUGCAAGGAUGCUGGCGUAAUGGUCGUCAACGACCCGUCUUGAAACACGGACCAAGGAGUCGUCUUCGUAUGCGAGUGUUCGGGUGUCAAACCCCUACGCGUAAUGAAAGUGAACGCAGGUGAGAGCUUCGGCGCAUCAUCGACCGAUCCUGAUGUUCUCGGAUGGAUUUGAGUAAGAGCAUACGGGGCCGGACCCGAAAGAAGGUGAACUAUGCCUGUAUAGGGUGAAGCCAGAGGAAACUCUGGUGGAGGCUCGCAGCGGUUCUGACGUGCAAAUCGAUCGUC